UCUGGCCCGGACCAACCAAAUGUUGUCUUGUUUGGGGGCGGGGUGCAUUAGAAUACUCAAAUACACUAAAUAAGGAUAUUGCAUAUUUCCACCUUUGUUUACCGAUAGUCAGGACAUUCAUCUUCAGAUAGCUAGGUGGACCAGUCAGUCAGUACAUUCAUCUUCAGAUAGCUAGGUGGACCAGUCAUAGUCAGUACAUUCAUCUUCAGAUAGCUAGGUGGACCAGUCAUAGUCAGUACAUUCAUCUUCAGAUAGCUAGGUGGACCAGUCAUAGUCAGUACAUUCAUCGUCAGAUAGCUAGGUGGACCAGUCAUAGUCAGUACAUUCAUCUUCAGAUAGCUAGGUGGACCAGUCAUAGUCAGUACAUUCAUCUUCAGAUAG
This is a long non-coding RNA of Oncorhynchus tshawytscha (Chinook salmon), 381 nucleotides long. NCBI's taxonomy places the organism in Eukaryota, Metazoa, Chordata, Actinopteri, Salmoniformes, Salmonidae. The record is from Ensembl.